UACAGAGGGGGCAAGCGUUGUUCGGAAUUACUGGGCGUAAAGCGUAUGCAGGCGGACUUUUAAGUCGGGGGUGAAAUCCCGAGGCUCAACCUCGGAACUGCCUUCGAUACUGGAAGUCUUGAGUCCGGGAGAGGUGAGUGGAACUCCGAGUGUAGAGGUGAAAUUCGUAGAUAUUCGGAAGAACACCAGUGGCGAAGGCGGCUCACUGGCCCGGUACUGACGCUGAGAUACGAAAGCGUGGGGAGCAAACAGG
RNAcentral lists this ribosomal RNA (253 nucleotides) under uncultured bacterium. RNAcentral describes it as "partial 16S ribosomal RNA". It matches the Rfam family "Bacterial small subunit ribosomal RNA", at positions 524 to 776 of the family's 1533-position model. The record is from RNAcentral.